This 403-nucleotide ribosomal RNA is filed under the name uncultured bacterium. RNAcentral's name for it is "partial 16S ribosomal RNA". It matches the Rfam family "Bacterial small subunit ribosomal RNA", at positions 29 to 526 of the family's 1533-position model. The record is from RNAcentral.
AUUGAACGCUGGCGGCAGGCCUAACACAUGCAAGUCGAGCGAGCGGCGGACGGGUGAGUAAUGUAUGGGGACUGCCCGAUAGAGGGGGAUAACUACUGGAAACGGUGGCUAAUACCGCAUACUAUCGGAUAACCCAUAUGGGAUUAGCUAGUAGGUGGGGUAAAGGCUCACCUAGGCGACGAUCUCUAGCUGGUCUGAGAGGAUGAUCAGCCACACUGGGACUGAGACACGGCCCAGACGCCGACGGAGGCAGCAGUGGGGAAGCUUGCACAAUGGGCGGAAGCCUGAUGCAGCGACGCCGCGUGUGGGAUGACGGCCUUCGGGUUGUAAAGUACUUUCAGCGGGGAGGCGUUACCCGCAGAAGAAGCACCGGCUAACUCCGUGCCAGCCGCCGCGGUAAUUC